UCUGUUAUAACAAUUAACAAGACAAAGAUAUGCUCAGGGGCUCCUAUCGUAGGCUAUACUAUAUGUUAUCUUAAUUUAGUUACUCCGUUUACUACUUGCUUCUUGGAAUUUCUUACUGUCUUAUUAUCUAGUACUUAACAGUUCUUGUGUAUUCCUCAUAUUUAAGCUCACAGUGUUCUUCCUUCUCCCUUAAGUUGUAUUUUGUUUUCUUUCUUAUAUUAAAGAUUGAACAAUUGCAGUGCAAGCACACAAUUGGUUGUUCCUGUUCGAGAAGGUGCGCAAUCUUGCCGAGUUGCACAAAAUCAAUUAAAAUAGUAUAUUUGUACAUAGUUGGAACUAGUUGAUUGUAGCUCUUAGUUGUACAAGGUGGAUGCAAGUGUCUGGGUGCGAUGGCCCGUAGAUAUUGCAUUGCUCUGAAAAUUAUCAGUACAUUGCAUAGAUGAAUGGAUGUCACUCCUUACAUUGUUGUUUUGAACUUCUGUACUAAUUUACUGAAGCGUCAAGUAACAACUAUCCUCUGUUUGGGUCACCCCUUUCCCUAGUAGUGUUGCAUUCUAUGUCCUUAUGAAUUUUUGAUUGUCUUACUGUCCAGUACAGUAACAGUCUGCUCUCUAACUUGUUUGUCAAUAACUCCUUAUUUUAGUCUCUUUCAUUAUGUUAGGUUUUUGGGAAGAAUUAAAUGAACAUCAUCAGUGCAACAUAGAGGUUAAGGCAGGUGGUUGAGGUAUCACUCAAUUUCAAGAAAUUGAAUAAGAUUCUUCCAAAUUAAGUGGCACUAUUCCAUUUCAUAUUUUGUUGUUCUAUGCACGUGAACCUAGAACUUAAAUAUUGAUCAACACCUGAUCGAUGUCUUAUUUUCUAGUUUGCAAUUCAUUCUUAUUAGGAGCAAAAUCCAAGAUUGGGGAGCUAUGAGAGAUGCAAGAGCCUCUAAUCAAGGUAUUUUUAGUUUUGCUUUCACCAUCAUCCGCAAGUUUUAUCAGGAAUAAUUGCCAGUCAAGUUUUCUCGCGUAUAUUAAAAACAUAUCAUGCUAUGUCCAGUGUGCCCAAGAUCAUGAGACCAACAUUAUUGAGCCAGUAGUUGCUAUGUUGGUUUAGUCUGAACACAACCUCUUUCUAUUUCUUUGGGGUCUUUUAUUGUCUCACCAUGCCAUGCUGUUACAUUAUCGAAUAAUUGUAUAAUGUUUUGGAUUUUUUAUUCUUAUGGAGAUGAUGAUGACUCUGCCAUCUUUCUUGAACAUUUGAAAUGGAUAGACUUAAGAGUAUUGACAUUGGUGGUGUGAUUUAUUGCAAGAACUCUCUAAUGACUUACCUGCUCAGGAAGUUAGCUGAUAAUUCUGUCAAACUAAUCUAGUAGCAUGUGCUCAGGUUGUCCUUUAAGUGGAUUUUGUCAGUUGCAUGAUUAGUAUCAAAUCUGAGAUAUGAUGCUAGAAAAAACUACUCCAUUACUAUUCUAUAAGUUGUAGAAGUGGGUAACUUUGCUGAGAGAAAAACAAGUUGGGUAUAUAUGCCAAUGUUAUUGCGAGAAACUGAGAUACCAAAUAGAUUAUGCUUAUUAUAUCUUAUAGAUAUUGUUCCUGUUUCUCGUACCUUUUUGUAGCAAACAGUUGGCACUUGCACAUUUUUACAAGUUCAAUUAGUCCACUGCAGGGUAACCUUGAAGAGAAGCUUGCAACUUAAGUUGCAACAAAAGAUUGUAGAAAAUGAGGUAUCUCUUCUUGUGUAUAUUUAGUUGAUGCACUUGUGUGUUUUUAGAUGUUGCACCUCUGUUUUCAUUGACCUUCGAUUCAUGUACGUAAAUUCUAUGGAACUGUAUCCGAGGACAUGUGAAUUUGUAUCUAUGUUUGACGGGAACAAUUGAUAGUGAUGUUUCUAUGUUCUAAAUAUUAUGGGUUCUGGAAUAGCUAUUUAUAAAACCAUCAAUAUU
RNAcentral lists this long non-coding RNA (1924 nucleotides) under Triticum aestivum (bread wheat). RNAcentral describes it as "long non-coding RNA (TAES_LNC017371)". Lineage: Eukaryota; Viridiplantae; Streptophyta; Magnoliopsida; Poales; Poaceae. The record is from RNAcentral.